GACAGAAUGCCUUCUGAGACUGGCCUUGGCAGAACUCUGUAGCCAAUAUACUGACAAAGAGAAGAUAGCAUGGAAAGUGAAGCCGUUCACAACUUACAUGGAAUCUAUGGAUCUACAGCAGAAUCACUUCCUAUAUCAUCUGCCAAUAUUUUCACUUUUGGGAAAAUAUAAUUAUCAUACCUCCAAGCACACACAGGGCUGAUCUUUGGAACAUUUCUUCACUGUCAGAAGAACAGGCUGAAAACAGGGAGAAGAACUAACUGCUACUGCCAGCAUUCCUGAUGCUUUGUCUACUGAAAUUUCCUAGGACUGGUGGAGCUGCACUGGUAUCACAGAAGGCAGUCUUUGUUGAGAGAGGAAAAAAUGCACCACAGAAGAGCGUGUUGAUUUCCUUGUAUCAUCGACCCCUCCUCAAAGGUAACAUUCGUACCUGUUAUCGCACAUUUGGAAGACUUAACACGUAACCUUCAAUAUUGCUUUUGUAUAAUUUUCCCAGUAAUACCUUUUCAUCAAAAUAGUCACGAGUAAAAUACACAGGAAAAUUUUCUUGCAUCUGUGUGAACACCGUGGAGUCAGAUCUGAACACAGUGUCUGGGGCUUUUACUACCUCAGCAGGCCCUGAGGACCAGGUCACAGACAGUCGCACCACGUUGGCAGAUCUGUAUUUAUAGACAGCAUCCUUAUUUUCAGUACCGUAUGCAGAACAGGAUAAUACACGUUGAGGAGACAAGAGCUGCAUAAUGUACUCAGUUAAAAAAAAUAACUUUUGACUUAAUAGGAAACUUUAUGAGUUUGUUGUGCUCCGAACAAAAUUGUUUACCUUGCAUAUGUACUGAGUUUCCAGUCUUCCCUUUUGCUUUUACUUCUUUCUGUUCUUGUUGUUACAUUACAAAACUUUACAUUAAUUUUGCUGCAGAAAUAGUGACUUUGUAGUCAGUGGUCAGGAAUGAAGGGCACUGGCAAAUAUCAGCUCACAAAUGCCCCAGGAACAGCCUAACAUUGGCAUUAAAUCACAUUUUAUUUCUAAAGAAAUUGCGCUCUCCAGCUCUGCAGCUAAUAAAGAUACAGAAAGAACAGAGUGAUUAUACCACAGUCUCCAUUAUUUUAAAUACUUAAUUGUUUGGUUUCCUGAAUUAACAGCAGACUAAACAUUUAUUUCUAAAAUCUUUGAAAAUAGAAAUAUUUGAGAUUUUUUUUGUAGAUCUCUUUCCUAUUUUUCCUCCGCUCCAAAAAUUAUUUAUACUAAUAAAAAUAGCUUCUCUCAUCUAAUCAAGCUUCUGUUAAUUAAAUGAAUGUGGCCACCGAGGAGGUAAGUGAUUCACCCAAGAUCACCUUGGAAGCCUCGGGCAGAGGCACAUGAGAACCCAGGCAGUCUGAACAACAGACCCGAUCAUUUCUGCCUCUCUGCAGUGUUCUCACAAGAGGGACGCGUAUCAGCAGUGAACGCCAACUCUGUAGCUCCACUUGUGGCUUUCAGUCUGGAUAAUAUUCAGUGAGACAUUCCUCACACGGACAAACCGAAUAAUCUUUGUACGCUCAUUUCUAACAUUUGACUAAUAUUUGUAUUUGCAUUUCAGUAAUAUCUAAUGAGUUCCGCAUACUGUACAAGCAACUAAAACAAAAGCUUUACAGCUCCACAGCUCGAAACCUCAAUCCUUUUUUUUUUUUUUCCUCCAGGGCAAAUGCUUCAAAUUUCUCAGUUAUCCAUGCUUUUUUUUUUUUUUUUUUUUUUUUUAAUAUGUAACGUUGUAGUCUGUGUCAAUAAAACCCAAUUUACUGCUGUUACAACUGUUACAUAAAUUGUGCUAGCUGCCAUGAAGUAGCACUGCUGGGCUCAGGAUUAUGUUUUACAUUUUCGGUGUUGACAGAAGAACAAACAAACAAAAUUUGUUUGACCCCUCUCAACUUAUUUUAGGCUUGAUCCACAAUCCUCUGCUUGCUAAAAUCCACAGAGAGUCUCUAAGGAUCUCUCGGAGGAGAGGUCAACACGUAUUUUCCCUCUAUAUGAAAUACCUGAGAAGGUUCAGAUAAGUGGAAAAAUUGCAUUGAGAGGCUGGAAGAAGUCAGGGAAUGGCAGAUCCAGUCAGCUCCCCAAAGAGACUUAGUCUUCCCAAAAGUCGGAUGAUGCUUCUGUCCUAGAGCAUCAGCUGGAUCCUCAGGUGGAAAGGGUCAGGGGCCCAUAAAAACCUAAUGAGGUUCAAUAAGA
Molecule: long non-coding RNA, 2206 nt
Organism: Gallus gallus (chicken)
Lineage: Eukaryota; Metazoa; Chordata; Aves; Galliformes; Phasianidae
Exons: 3
Source: RefSeq, a predicted model, not a curated record